RNAcentral lists this ribosomal RNA (574 nucleotides) under Salmonella enterica subsp. enterica serovar Typhimurium. RNAcentral's name for it is "partial 23S ribosomal RNA". It matches the Rfam family "Bacterial large subunit ribosomal RNA", at positions 1 to 603 of the family's 2925-position model. The record is from RNAcentral. Lineage: Bacteria; Pseudomonadati; Pseudomonadota; Gammaproteobacteria; Enterobacterales; Enterobacteriaceae.
GGGUUGUGAGGUUAAGCGACUAAGCGUACACGGUGGAUGCCCUGGCAGUCAGAGGCGAUGAAGGACGUGCUAAUCUGCGAUAAGCGCCGGUAAGGUGAUAUGAACCGUUAUAACCGGCGAUUUCCGAAUGGGGAAACCCAGUGUGAUUCGUCACACUAUCAUUAACUGAAUCCAUAGGUUAAUGAGGCGAACCGGGGGAACUGAAACAUCUAAGUACCCCGAGGAAAAGAAAUCAACCGAGAUUCCCCCAGUAGCGGCGAGCGAACGGGGAGGAGCCCAGAGCCUGAAUCAGCAUGUGUGUUAGUGGAAGCGUCUGGAAAGGCGCGCGAUACAGGGUGACAGCCCCGUACACAAAAGCGCAUGUGCUGUGAGCUCGAUGAGUAGGGCGGGACACGUGGUAUCCUGUCUGAAUAUGGGGGGACCAUCCUCCAAGGCUAAAUACUCCUGACUGACCGAUAGUGAACCAGUACCGUGAGGGAAAGGCGAAAAGAACCCCGGCGAGGGGAGUGAAAAAGAACCUGAAACCGUGUACGUACAAGCAGUGGGAGCACAGGUUUACCUGUGUGACUGCGUA